This 393-nucleotide ribosomal RNA is filed under the name uncultured bacterium. RNAcentral's name for it is "partial 16S ribosomal RNA". It matches the Rfam family "Bacterial small subunit ribosomal RNA", at positions 523 to 918 of the family's 1533-position model. The record is from RNAcentral.
AUACGGAGGAUCCGAGCGUUAUCCGGAUUUAUUGGGUUUAAAGGGUGCGCAGGCGGGAGAUUAAGUCGGCGGUGAAAUUUUUCAGCUCAACUGUAAAAGUGCCUUCGAAACUGGGUUCCUUGAGUGUCGAUGAAGUAGGCGGAAUUUGUGGUGUAGCGGUGAAAUGCAUAGAUAUCACGAGGAACUCCGAUUGCGCAGGCAGCUUACUAAACUACUACUGACGCUCAGGCACGAAGGCGUGGGGAUCAAACAGGAUUAGAUACCCUGGUAGUCCACGCAGUAAACGAUGAUUACUAGCUGUUUGCGAUACAAUGUAAGCGGCUGAGCGAAAGCGUUAAGUAAUCCACCUGGGGAGUACGUUCGCAAGAAUGAAACUCAAAUGAAUUGACGGGG